Nothoprocta perdicaria is the source of this 1019-nucleotide long non-coding RNA. RefSeq lists it as uncharacterized. The transcript is spliced from 3 exons. The record is from RefSeq and is a predicted model, not a curated record. Lineage: Eukaryota; Metazoa; Chordata; Aves; Tinamiformes; Tinamidae.
UUGGCUGUUCUGUUUCUUCUAGUUUUCUGGUCUAGACUUGAACUCCUCAGACUCCCAGAGCGAAGGAAGCUCUACAAGCAAAGGCCGAUACAUUCCUCCUCACUUACGGAACAGGGAAGCUUCAAAACAGGGUUUUGACAGUGGUGGCUGGAGCUCUAGCAGAGACAAGGAUGCAUACAGCAGCUUUGGUGCGCGAUCUGACCGUGGAGCAAAAUCCAGCUUCUUUGACCGUGGAAAUGGGUCGAGAGGAGGAAGGCAAGUACUUUCUUUGGACAGUGUGUGCUAAUUCUUCAGCGCUUGAGGUUUUUUUUUUUUUUUUUAAAAAAAGACCCUCCUAAAUGGGAAGAAUAAGAUAAAGUAGGGAGGAGGAUCUGGGGAGGGAAAACUGGAGUGAGAACCUUGCUUUAAAACUACAGGCUUUCCAGGAUGGGAAACUUUCUUGGGAAACUUUUCAACACUUAAAAUACAUCGGAACUGAUUUUUUUUUUUUGAGUUUUUUCCCCCCCAUGUUGAAAAAGUGUAGUUAAUAAAACUGGGUGAGACUCUUGCAGGUUCUCUGCCUUACUUGAUCAAUCUUACACACAUCAUGCAUAUGCACAAGUGUGGUGAAUGACCUUUAUCGACUAGUAAAGCUGACGCUAGUCCUGUGUCCAGCCUUUUCUCAAACAUGGUUUACCAGGCCAAAAACUAAACAGUUGAGGUAAGGAAUUUUUUUCCACCUUCUUUGCAAGUCAGUAAUACAGGUGAGCUCAGUCUGUAAAAGUGGUUGUUUUUGUUGGUGGUUUUUUAAGUGUGAUGCAUAAUUGAGGUUAUAUAAUUUAGUUGGGUUGUAGGUGGUGGGGGGACAAUAGGAACAUGUCACAACGCUUGGGUCUCGAGAUAUUGUACCUAAUAUGGAACUCUGGGGAAGUGCAAGUGUCCUCAUAAGAGUUUUAGUAGCCUUGCAAAACCAGGAAAGAAUGCAGCCCUCCUGGCAGAGCGCAUAUUCUUCUACCUUAAGAUAUACUUACUCAAACUUU